Molecule: ribosomal RNA, 444 nt
Filed under: uncultured prokaryote
Description: bacterial SSU rRNA
Rfam family: Bacterial small subunit ribosomal RNA
Source: RNAcentral
CCUCGGGAGGCUGCAGUGAGGCAUAUUGCGCAAUGGGGGCAACCCUGACGCAGCAACGCCGCGUGAGUGAGGAAGGUUUUCGGACCGUAAAGCUCUGUCGAGCGGGAAGAAAUGCAUGGUGGCUAAUAUCCAUUAUGCUUGACGGUACCGCUAGAGGAAGCACCGGCUAACUCCGUGCCAGCAGCCGCGGUAAUACGGGGGGUGCAAGCGUUGUUCGUAAUUAUUGGGCGUAAAGAGCGUGUAGGCGGCUGGAUAAGUCAGAUGUGAAAUCCCUGGGCUUAACCCAGGACGUGCAUUUGAAACUAUCCAGCUUGAGUAAGGGAGAGGAAAGUGGAAUGCCUGGUGUAGAGGUGAAAUUCGUAGAUAUCAGGAGGAACACCGGUGGCGAAGGCGACUUUCUGGCCCUAUACUGACGCUGAGACGCGAGAGCGUGGGUAGCAAACA